This 279-nucleotide ribosomal RNA is filed under the name uncultured bacterium. RNAcentral describes it as "partial 16S ribosomal RNA". It matches the Rfam family "Bacterial small subunit ribosomal RNA", at positions 506 to 784 of the family's 1533-position model. The record is from RNAcentral.
UGCCAGCAGCCGCGGUAAGACAGGAGGAGCGAGUGUUGUUCGGAAUUACUGGGCGUAAAGCGCGCGUAGGCGGAUUAGACAGUUGAGGGUGAAAUCCCGGAGCUUAACUCCGGAACUGCCUUCAAUACUACUAAUCUUGAGUUCGGAAGAGGUGAGUGGAAUUCCUAGUGUAGAGGUGAAAUUCGUAGAUAUUAGGAAGAACAUCAGUGGCGAAGGCGACUCACUGGUCCGAUACUGACGCUGAGGUGCGAAAGCGUGGGGAGCAAACAGGAUUAGAUA